UAUAUGCUUCCAUAUUCCAACACGGAUAGUACCGUUGUCUUAUACAGUCUCAGGACGUCUGAUGGAUGUGCGCCCCACCAGAAUCCUGUGACUGUCCUUAGAAAGUUGAUUCUUUUACUGCAUUUUUGCACCAGACGGGUGAAGUGUGUACUCCAGUUUAGCCUUGAAUUAAACCAUACACCAAGGUAUCGAAAAUUGUCGGUAGUUGAUAUCUUUUCACCAUACAGAAAGACA
Anopheles maculipalpis is the source of this 234-nucleotide long non-coding RNA. RefSeq lists it as uncharacterized. NCBI's taxonomy places the organism in Eukaryota, Metazoa, Arthropoda, Insecta, Diptera, Culicidae. The transcript has 2 exons. The record is from RefSeq and is a predicted model, not a curated record.